AGGCCGGUGGCAGAUUGGGAAUGCGUCUGUCUCUAAAACAGAUACCUGACGGUGCAGUUGGUUCAAUUCCAACCCGGCCUA
RNAcentral lists this transfer RNA (81 nucleotides) under Caudoviricetes sp. RNAcentral describes it as "tRNA-OTHER". It matches the Rfam family "tRNA". Rfam says of the family: Transfer RNA (tRNA) molecules are approximately 80 nucleotides in length. Their secondary structure includes four short double-helical elements and three loops (D, anti-codon, and T loops). The record is from RNAcentral. Lineage: Duplodnaviria; Heunggongvirae; Uroviricota; Caudoviricetes.